This 448-nucleotide ribosomal RNA is filed under the name uncultured bacterium. Its description in RNAcentral is "bacterial SSU rRNA". It matches the Rfam family "Bacterial small subunit ribosomal RNA", at positions 331 to 793 of the family's 1533-position model. The record is from RNAcentral.
CCAGACUCCUACGGGAGGCAGCAGUGGGGAAUAUUGCACAAUGGGGGGAACCCUGAUGCAGCAACGCCGCGUGAAGGAAGAAGUAAUUCGUUAUGUAAACUUCUAUCGACAGGGAAGAAAGAAAUGACGGUACCUGAAUAAGAAGCCCCGGCUAAUUACGUGCCAGCAGCCGCGGUAAUACGUAGGGGGCAAGCGUUAUCCGGAUUUACUGGGUGUAAAGGGAGCGUAGACGGCAGCACAAGUCUGGAGUGAAAUGCCGGGGCUUAACCCCGGAACUGCUUUGGAAACUGUGCAGCUAGAGUGCAGGAGAGGAAAGUGGAAUUCCUAGUGUAGCGGUGAAAUGCGUAGAUAUUAGGAAGAACACCGGUGGCGAAGGCGACUUUCUGGACUGUAACUGACGUUGAGGCACGAAAGUGUGGGGAGCAAACAGGAUUAGAUACCCGUGUAA